AAACCAGCACCUCAAGUGGUCAGGAUGAUUAUUGGGCCUAAAGCAUCCGUAGCCGGCUCUGUAAGUUUUCGGUUAAAUCUGUACGCUCAACGUACAGGCUGCCGGGAAUACUGCAGGGCUAGGGAGUGGGAGAGGUAGACGGUACUCGGGAGGAAGUGGUAAAAUGCUUUGAUCUCUCGAUGACCACCUGUGGCGAAGGCGGUCUACCAGAACACGUCCGACGGUGAGGGAUGAAAGCUGGGGGAGCAAACCGGAUUAGAAACCCGGGUAGUCC
RNAcentral lists this ribosomal RNA (274 nucleotides) under uncultured bacterium. RNAcentral's name for it is "partial 16S ribosomal RNA". It matches the Rfam family "Archaeal small subunit ribosomal RNA", at positions 473 to 747 of the family's 1478-position model. The record is from RNAcentral.